RNAcentral lists this ribosomal RNA (448 nucleotides) under uncultured bacterium. Its description in RNAcentral is "bacterial SSU rRNA". It matches the Rfam family "Bacterial small subunit ribosomal RNA", at positions 29 to 524 of the family's 1533-position model. The record is from RNAcentral.
AACGAACGCUGGCGGCAGGCUUAACACAUGCAAGUCGAGCGCCCCGCAAGGGGAGCGGCAGACGGGUGAGUAACGCGUGGGAAUCUACCCAUCCCUACGGAACAACUCCGGGAAACUGGAGCUAAUACCGUAUACGCCCUUAGGGGGAAAGAUUUAUCGGGGAUGGAUGAGCCCGCGUUGGAUUAGCUAGUUGGUGGGGUAAUGGCCUACCAAGGCAACGAUCCAUAGCUGGUCUGAGAGGAUGAUCAGCCACACUGGGACUGAGACACGGCCCAGACUCCUACGGGAGGCAGCAGUGGGGAAUAUUGGACAAUGGGCGCAAGCCUGAUCCAGCCAUGCCGCGUGAGUGAUGACGGCCCUAGGGUUGUAAAGCUCUUUCACCGGUGAAGAUAAUGACGGUAACCGGAGAAGAAGCCCCGGCUAACUCCGUGCCAGCAGCCGCGGUAAU